RNAcentral lists this ribosomal RNA (503 nucleotides) under uncultured bacterium. Its description in RNAcentral is "bacterial SSU rRNA". It matches the Rfam family "Bacterial small subunit ribosomal RNA", at positions 791 to 1289 of the family's 1533-position model. The record is from RNAcentral.
UAGUCCAUGCCGUAAACGAUGGAUACUAGGUGUCGGGGGACUAGCCCCCUCGGUGCCGUAGCAAACGCGUUAAGUAUCCCGCCUGGGGAGUACGAUCGCAAGGUUGAAACUCAAAGGAAUUGACGGGGGCCCGCACAAGCGGUGGAGCAUGUGGUUUAAUUCGAUGCAACGCGAAGAACCUUACCUGGGCUUGAACCGUAAUUUGACGUAUGUUAGAGACAACAUAUUCUGAUUUAUCAGCAAGUUACAGAGGUGCUGCAUGGCUGUCGUCAGCUCGUGUCGUGAGAUGUUGGGUUAAGUCCCGCAACGAGCGCAACCCUUAUCAUUAGUUGCCAGCGCGUCAUGGCGGGGACUCUAAUGAGACUGCCCGGGUUAACCGGGAGGAAGGUGGGGAUGACGUCAAGUCCUCAUGGCCCUUAUGUCCAGGGCUACACACGUGCUACAAUGGGCGGUACAAAGCGCAGCUACACAGUGAUGUGGUGCGAAUCGCAAAAACCGUUCUC